Molecule: ribosomal RNA, 494 nt
Filed under: uncultured Sphingobacteriales bacterium
Lineage: Bacteria; Pseudomonadati; Bacteroidota; Sphingobacteriia; Sphingobacteriales
Description: bacterial SSU rRNA
Rfam family: Bacterial small subunit ribosomal RNA
Source: RNAcentral
AGCCCGCUCAGAAACUACAAUGAUUGACGGGGCCCGCACAAGCGGAGGAGCAUGUGGUUUAAUUCGAUGAUACGCGAGGAACCUUACCUGGGCUCGAACGUAAGAUGACUGUAGGUGAAAGCUUACAUCUCUUCGGAGCAUUUUACGAGGUGCUGCAUGGUUGUCGUCAGCUCGUGCCGUGAGGUGUCGGGUUAAGUCCCAUAACGAGCGCAACCCCUACCUUUAGUUGCCAUCAGGUAAUGCUGGGGACUCUAAAGGAACUGCCUACGCAAGUAGUGAGGAAGGCGGGGAUGACGUCAAAUCAGCACGGCCCUUACGUCCAGGGCUACACACGUGCUACAAUGGCCGAUACAGAGGGCAGCUACCUGGUGACAGGAUGCAAAUCUCCAAAGUCGGUCUCAGUUCGGAUCGGAGUCUGCAACCCGACUCCGUGAAGUUGGAUUCGCUAGUAAUCGCGCAUCAGCCAUGGCGCGGUGAAUACGUUCCCGGGCCUU